This 229-nucleotide ribosomal RNA is filed under the name uncultured bacterium. RNAcentral describes it as "partial 16S ribosomal RNA". It matches the Rfam family "Bacterial small subunit ribosomal RNA", at positions 568 to 796 of the family's 1533-position model. The record is from RNAcentral.
CGUGUAGGCGGCUCGUCAAGUCUGAUGUGAAAGCCCUGGGCUCAACCCAGGAAGUGCAUUGGAAACUGGCGAACUUGAGUACGGGAGAGGAAAGUGGAAUUUCGAGUGUAGGGGUGAAAUCCGUAGAUAUUCGAAGGAACACCAGUGGCGAAGGCGGCUUUCUGGACCGAUACUGACGCUGAGACGCGAAAGCGUGGGGAGCAAACAGGAUUAGAUACCCUGGUAGUCC